UCAACACAAACUGGUAUUGGAACAUGCAUCGCAAUUGCUGGUGUUGCAGUCUACUCAUUCCUCAAGGCUAAGAUAGAAGAGGAGAAACAAGUGAGUAUCAACUCGAACAAGAUAUGGCGAAAUAUAACUGUUAAUUAAGUGUUAGUGUUGAGGUUCUCCUCAUUAAAGUAAUAGUAACUCUAAAUUUGGUUUCUUUGCAGCAAAAGAAAGCAGCAUGAGAAGGAAAGAAGAAUCAACGUGCUUGUAAAGUGUUGUUCUAUAUGUUGUUCCAAAGAUAAAAAUGACAAUUUGAGUAUCUUAUUUGUCACUGUGUCGUUUUGCCUUCCAUCAAUUUUCUCAGAUUCAGGUUUACUUGAAACAGUGUAUCUCUUGCUCUGUCCCAGCUCAGAACAAGCUUAUAUGAUAAGAAUCUCUAGAGUUUAACAAUAAUACGUGGGGUAAUUAGUGCGACCACU
This 455-nucleotide unclassified non-coding RNA is filed under the name Hevea brasiliensis (rubber tree). The record is from RNAcentral. Lineage: Eukaryota; Viridiplantae; Streptophyta; Magnoliopsida; Malpighiales; Euphorbiaceae.